This is a long non-coding RNA of Panonychus citri (citrus red mite), 1670 nucleotides long. RefSeq lists it as uncharacterized. Lineage: Eukaryota; Metazoa; Arthropoda; Arachnida; Trombidiformes; Tetranychidae. The record is from RefSeq and is a predicted model, not a curated record. The transcript is spliced from 3 exons.
AAAUUAACUCAUUUGAUUAAUUGUUUUUCUUUCUUUAUCAAUUCAACAACUAUCAUCAUUAAUCAUAUCUUAUUGUGUCUCUCUUAUGAGUUGAUUGUUGAGAUUUUUUUCCAAUUGUGUCACCUUGAUAUUGUUUUUCUUUUCCAGUUCUAAUAAUAAUCUACAGGUUGUUUUCGUCUUCUCUUUUCGUUGGUUGGUAAUAAAUACUCGUUGGUGUGGUGGUGAUGCUUCAAUUUUUACUUUUCCCUCUACUCAUCAUUUCUAACCCAAGGGGAAGACCUAAUUUUGGAGUAGCUUGGAUUACGUUGGUAACCAUUUACACAAACACAUAGAAGUCAGAGUGAGCAACCAAAGAUGAUUCCUUCUCGAUUGGUUUAUACUCUAUGCUGCCAAGUUAAGAGCAAAGCUAAACGGGAACACGCAUCGGGAUUGUUAACAUUUUACACUCAAGAAUCUCAUCACCAUUCAGGAUUUUUCGCCAUCUUUUUCAUCAUCAUCAUCAUCAUCUAAAUCUAAAUCUUCAAUAUUCAUCUCAUUCUCAUAAUCUACAUCUCUUUCUUUUUCUUUCUUUCAUCUCUUUUCAUCAUCAUCUUCCUCUUUCUCUUUUGUAUUUCUAUUGAAUGAAUGUAAACAAAAUUGAGAUAAAAAUUCAACUCAUUGUAAGGUUGAUUGUCGACAAUUUCAUUAAUCAACUUGGUUUACUCUUAAUUUACUGAUUUACUUCAUCUUCCCUUAAACUUUUUCCUAAUCAACUUGGUGAUCUUGUUUUCGCUUUCGUUAUCUAAUUAACCACCACACUCUCAUUUAGACACCGGCUCCUUCAUCUCAGAGACUUAAUUGAAGUUGAUGUUGUCACUGAUUAUCAAUGAGGUAACAAUUAACUAGACAACAACAGAUAGAUAAUGAUAAUCAACUGAAUUGACUUUGAUUUAGAUGAAUUGAUGAUAAAAUGUUGAUACAACAUUCGCUGGUCAAUUGUAUUGUCUUAAUUGUAAAGGUUUAAAUCAUUUCAAUCGGUGAUAAUUAAGGUUAAGCUGCACUAGAUUGAUCAAUAUCAAGUUUAAAUAUUUAAUCCAUCAUGAUAGAUACAGUCAACAAUUAACACUAAUCAACAAUCUAACCCACCUUAGUGUUGAAUUUUGAGAUGAAUGAAAAAAAGAUUAAGGUAAAAAAAAACAAUGUCAAUGUGUCAAUCAAAUUGUUAUGGUCAAGGACAAUCAACUGGUCAAAGUUGAAAUGAUCAAAAGUGAUCCUUAAUUACUGACAUAAUCGUGUUAAAUUGCAUACAAUUAAGGAGAUGUUGGGAUAAAUUGAGAAGCUAAAAUAUCACUAACUGAUUUUGAAUGUUAAUCAUUGACAGAUUAACUAUUAACCUUUAUUUUCCUGACCAAUAACUUUAAUCAAUUACAACAAUUAGUGAAAGACAGACACAAGAAAAAGGCAACAAUUAACUUAAUCACUUGAAAUGAAAUACAAAAAGAAAACAAAAUUAAUGAUGAUCAAGAAAAACCAAUUUCUCAGCUCAAAAGUAAUCAAUCAAAUGAUGAUUAAGAAAAAUGAACAAUCAACAAUAAUUAUAAUCACUUUGAAAGAAAACAAUUGUAAAUUGUUAAGUUAAUAAGGGAAAUAGAUUCCUGUCACUCUCUUAAUUGUUACAAUCAAAUUAGUCA